Molecule: ribosomal RNA, 496 nt
Filed under: uncultured bacterium
Lineage: Bacteria
Description: partial 16S ribosomal RNA
Rfam family: Bacterial small subunit ribosomal RNA
Source: RNAcentral
AUGCACGCUGGCGGCGUGCCUCAUCCCUGCCAUUCGAGCGAACGGACGAGAAGCUUGCUUCUCUGAUGUUAGCGGCGGACGGGUGAGUAACACGUGGAUAACCUACCUAUAAGACUGGGAUAACUUCGGGAAACCGGAGCUAAUACCGGAUGAUAUUUUGAACCGCAUGGUUCAAAAGUGAAAGACGGUCUUGCUGUCACUUAUAGAUGGAUCCGCGCUGCAUUAGCUAGUUGGUAAGGUAACGGCUUACCAAGGCAACGAUGCAUAGCCGACCUGAGAGGGUGAUCGGCCACACUGGAACUGAGACACGGUCCAGACUCCUACGGGAGGCAGCAGUAGGGAAUCUUCCGCAAUGGGCGAAAGCCUGACGGAGCAACGCCGCGUGAGUGAUGAAGGUCUUCGGAUCGUAAAACUCUGUUAUUAGGGAAGAACAUAUGUGUAAGUAACUGUGCACAUCUUGACGGUACCUAAUCAGAAAGCCACGGCUAACUACGUG